AUGGUCAUUGACGCUUGACUAGAUAAAGAGAAAGUAGCAUAAAGUAAUCAUGGUUUAGUUACUCUGUCUUUCAUGCUUUAUCUAUAUAUUAGAGGAGAGAUUGGAAGAGGAGGGGUAUCGAGUGAUUGAGUGAGGAAAUAGAUGAGAGAGCGAUCUUCUGAGAUGAUCUUAGUGAGAGAGAUCGUGAUCAGACCCUUUGUAUUCACUCUUUUAUUGAAUAAG
Molecule: long non-coding RNA, 222 nt
Filed under: Brassica napus (rape)
Lineage: Eukaryota; Viridiplantae; Streptophyta; Magnoliopsida; Brassicales; Brassicaceae
Description: long non-coding RNA (BNAP_LNC001665)
Source: RNAcentral